This 23-nucleotide non-coding RNA is filed under the name Arabidopsis thaliana (thale cress). The record is from RNAcentral. Lineage: Eukaryota; Viridiplantae; Streptophyta; Magnoliopsida; Brassicales; Brassicaceae.
UAUGGUGUUCCAAGCAGAAUCUA